GGGUGUGUGUGCGUGCGUGCGUGCGAGUGGUGUCUCAGGGUGGUGUGUGUGCGUGUGUGUGCGAGUGGUGUCUCAGGGUGUGUGUGUGUGUGUGCGAGUGGUGUCUCAGGGUGUGUGUGCGUGCGAGUGGUGUCUCAGGGGGUGUGUGUGCGUGCGAGUGGUGUCUCAGGGUGUGUGUGCGUGUGUGCGUGCGAGUGGUGUCUCAGGGUGUGCGUGCGAGUGGUUGGUGUCUCAGGGUGUGUGUGUGUGUGUGCGAGUGGUGUCUCAGGGUGUGUGUGUGUGUGUGUGUGUGUGCGAGUGGUGUCUCAGGGUGUGUGUGCGUGCGUGCGAGUGGUGUCUCAGGGUGUGUGUGUGUGCGUGCGAG
Molecule: long non-coding RNA, 364 nt
Organism: Oncorhynchus tshawytscha (Chinook salmon)
Lineage: Eukaryota; Metazoa; Chordata; Actinopteri; Salmoniformes; Salmonidae
Source: Ensembl